Small nucleolar RNA from Betta splendens (Siamese fighting fish), 77 nucleotides. Its record names the gene SNORD83. It matches the Rfam family "Small nucleolar RNA SNORD83". Rfam says of the family: U83 (SNORD83) and U84 (SNORD84) are members of the C/D class of snoRNA which contain the C (UGAUGA) and D (CUGA) box motifs. They act as guanine methylation guides but lack complementarity to ribosomal RNA. The record is from Ensembl. Lineage: Eukaryota; Metazoa; Chordata; Actinopteri; Anabantiformes; Osphronemidae.
GCCAGAUGAUGAGUUGAGUAGCUGCAUCAGCUCUCGGGCUGUGAUGACCUGCUAUCUAUCACCCUUUUCUGAUGGCU